UACGGAGGGGGCAAGCGUUAUUCGGAAUUACUGGGCGUAAAGCGCGUGUAGGCGGGAAGGUAAGUCUGGUGUGAAAGCCCUGGGCUCAACCUGGGAAGUGCAUUGGAUACUGCUUUUCUUGAGUUCUGGAGAGGAUGGGGGAAUUCCCGGUGUAGAGGUGAAAUUCGUAGAGAUCGGGAGGAAUAUCAGUGGCGAAAGCGCCCAGCUGGCCGGCAACUGCCGCUGAGACGCGAAAGCGUGGGGAGCAAACAGG
Molecule: ribosomal RNA, 253 nt
Filed under: uncultured bacterium
Lineage: Bacteria
Description: partial 16S ribosomal RNA
Rfam family: Bacterial small subunit ribosomal RNA
Source: RNAcentral